AGCUCCGUAGUUCAAUGGAUAGAACAAAAGUUUCCUAAACUUUAGAUCUAAGUUCGAUUCUUAGCGGAGCUACUA
This 75-nucleotide transfer RNA is filed under the name Psychroflexus gondwanensis ACAM 44. RNAcentral describes it as "tRNA-Arg". It matches the Rfam family "tRNA". From Rfam's summary of the family: Transfer RNA (tRNA) molecules are approximately 80 nucleotides in length. The record is from RNAcentral. Lineage: Bacteria; Pseudomonadati; Bacteroidota; Flavobacteriia; Flavobacteriales; Flavobacteriaceae.